UACGUAGGGUGCAAGCGUUGUCCGGAAUUAUUGGGCGUAAAGAGCUCGUAGGCGGUUCGUCGCGUCGGCUGUGAAAACCCGGAGCUUAACUCCGGGCCUGCAGUCGAUACGGGCGGACUGGAGUUCGGCAGGGGAGACUGGAAUUCCUGGUGUAGCGGUGAAAUGCGUAGAGAUCCGGAGGAACACCAAAGGCGAAGGCAGUGUCCUGGGGAGUACCUGACGCUCAGGUGCGAAAGCCAGGGGAGCGAACGGG
RNAcentral lists this ribosomal RNA (253 nucleotides) under uncultured bacterium. Its description in RNAcentral is "partial 16S ribosomal RNA". It matches the Rfam family "Bacterial small subunit ribosomal RNA", at positions 524 to 776 of the family's 1533-position model. The record is from RNAcentral.